UUGGACUUCUAGCCUCCAGCACUCUGAGAAAAUAAUUUCCUGUUACUUAAGCCACUCAGUCUGUGGUAUUUUGUUAUGGUAGUUCAAGUAGAUUAAUACACCUUUCUUCAAAGCUUAUUUAGGUAUUCCUCAGCCAAGAAACCCUCCUUCUGGGCACAAAAACCUGAACAACCACUUCAUUCUCAAGUUUCAAGGGAGUUCAGGUCCCAGAAAAGCUGUGAAAUUCAAUUUAAAAACCCCAAGGAACUUGGGGCUGGGGAUAGGGAGGUGCUCAAAGGUAUUAUAAAUUUUCUUUCAGCCACAGCAUGUACGAUAAACAGGAAUUUUGUGUUUUGUUUUCUAAUUUCAUUGCCGUUAUUCCACUGUUUCCACAAUGGAUCUGAGGUUAUGAAAUGGCUAAGAAUUAAUCAUGCAGUUCCUCUAGGCCAUUGUAAUGAUGCCUCUACUUUGAGUCACAUGAAAAGUCUUUGGACGGAAGAAAGCAGAAGAGCCACAUAACUUAUGUUUUAAAAUACUCACUGGAUGACUACGUGAAGAAUGGUCUGUAGCAGUCAAGAAUGGAAGCAGAGAGGCCAGCUAAAAGGCUAUUGCAUUACUGAUAGAUGACAAUGAUUUAGACUAGGAUGUGGAUUGGUGUACGGAAUUGGUUAGGUGCUAGAUAUUCAGCAGUUCCCUUUUAUGUUCGGGGGAUAUGUUCCAAAACCCCAAGUGGAUGCCUGAAACCACAAAGAAUACUGGACCCUACACUAUGGUUUUUCCUAUACAGCUUAUUGUAUGCAGUAUUUUCAAACUGGGUCCACCACAGGUAACUGAAACCACAGAAAGCAAAACUGCAGACAAGAGUGGACUACUGCAUUUAAAAGUUCUAGAUAUUGAGAAGUCCAAGAUUAAGGCAAUGGCAUUGAUGAGAGCCUUCUUGCUGGGUCCUGAAGAGGGGAGGAAUACCAUGUCCUCACAUGGCAGAAAGCGGAAGAGCAAAAAGAAAGAGAAAGAGAGAAAAGAGAGAGAGAGCAAAAUCCCUCCAUCAAGCCCUUUAUAAUGGCAUUAGUCCAUUCAUGAGAGCAGAGCAUUCAUGUUCUAAACAUCUCCCACCAGACCUCACCUUCCAACACUGUUGCAUCGGGGAUGGAUUUUCAACAUGACUUUUGAAGGGGACAAAAGCAUUCAAACCACAGCAAUUAGAAAAUGCACGUGGUAUAUAUUAAGUGACAAAAACCUAAACGAAUUUAGUGUAAACUGUUCUAAUGUUUGUCUAUCUUCCUUUCUGAGAACAAACAAUCGAUUCCAAUGAUUUUGGAUAACCACAUCGUGAAGUGGCUCUUUUUUCAAGGCUUGAAACAACAAAACUGAGGGAGUGAAUUAAGGGCAAAAAUCUACUUUUAAUUUAAGAAUUUAUAUGAGUGACUGGAGCACAGAGGGCAUUUAUAAGGGUGCUUACUAGGGAAGGGGGCAUCGAGUCACCACUGCUUUGGUCAAAUUGUACUUCAGUCAACCAAAUCUUCAUGGGUUCAUGGAACAAAUCAAGUAAUUGGGGAUCCAGCAGAAGUAAAGCACAACAAUCUAAAAGAAUAAUGGACCCACUGCCCAUUACUGACUAUACAUUGUAAAUAACCAGUCCAUGGAUGUGUCCCUGCAUUGGAACCCAAGAUUAAGAUUUGGAUAUGGAUGAUGUAUGCUUAUAUAAGUCUUUUUACUUGUUUGUCUACACUGUCUUAAUAAAUCAGUCUUUUUUUUCUACAUGCCUUGUGGAAAGUAUACUUCAUUUCAUCAAAAUAAAUAAGUAGGCUAGGGAGAUUUUGGAUAAAUUAGUCCUUAAAAUUAUCAAUUUAACCCAGAAAACACUUUAUAACCUGAUGUGGUUUGGCUGUUUCCCCACCCAAAUCUCAUCUUGAAUUGUAGUUCCCAGAAUUCCCAUGUGUUGUGUGAGGGGCCCAGUGGAAGGUAACUGAAUCAGGAGGAUGGGUCUUUCCUGUGCUGUUCUUGUGGUAAUGGAUAAGUCUCAUGAGAUCUGAUAGUUUUAUAAUGGGGAGUUCCCCUGCACACACUCUCUUGCUUGAUGCCAUGUAAGACAUGACUUUUGCUCCUCCUGUCUUCCGCCAUGAUUGUGAAGCCUCCUCAGCCAUGUAGAACUGUGAGUUCAUUAAACCCC
RNAcentral lists this long non-coding RNA (2149 nucleotides) under Homo sapiens (human). RNAcentral describes it as "HSALNT0058084". Lineage: Eukaryota; Metazoa; Chordata; Mammalia; Primates; Hominidae. The record is from RNAcentral.